GACCUAAAAAUUUAAUUAGGAAAAAUACAACCAAUCUUUGAUCUAAUUUUAAGUAGAAUUUUGAUUUAAAAUUUAUUUUUUGAAUUAUAAUUGAUAUAAUAGUAUAAUUUUGAAUAAUAAGUUCUGAAGAGUCUCCUCAGGGUUAAUCAAUUUUUUGUUCAAUAUUCUGAGAAAGGUAAGUCAUGAACCAUCUUUUUGAGAUAUUUUAUAAUUUAUUUUGAAAAUAAAUAAUUAUUUUUUGAAAUUAUG
Molecule: long non-coding RNA, 249 nt
Filed under: Elaeis guineensis (African oil palm)
Lineage: Eukaryota; Viridiplantae; Streptophyta; Magnoliopsida; Arecales; Arecaceae
Description: long non-coding RNA (EGUI_LNC001212)
Source: RNAcentral